RNAcentral lists this ribosomal RNA (447 nucleotides) under uncultured bacterium. Its description in RNAcentral is "partial 16S ribosomal RNA". It matches the Rfam family "Bacterial small subunit ribosomal RNA", at positions 328 to 792 of the family's 1533-position model. The record is from RNAcentral.
CUGCCAGACUCCUACGGGAGGCAGCAGUGGGGAAUAUUGCACAAUGGGGGAAACCCUGAUGCAGCGACGCCGCGUGAGCGAUGAAGUAUUUCGGUAUGUAAAGCUCUAUCAGCAGGGAAGAAAAUGACGGUACCUGACUAAGAAGCCCCGGCUAACUACGUGCCAGCAGCCGCGGUAAUACGUAGGGGGCAAGCGUUAUCCGGAUUUACUGGGUGUAAAGGGAGCGUAGACGGCGGUGCAAGCCAGAUGUGAAAGCCCGGGGCUCAACCCCGGGACUGCAUUUGGAACUGUGCUGCUAGAGUGUCGGAGAGGCAGGCGGAAUUCCUAGUGUAGCGGUGAAAUGCGUAGAUAUUAGGAGGAACACCAGUGGCGAAGGCGGCCUGCUGGACGAUGACUGACGUUGAGGCUCGAAAGCGUGGGGAGCAAACAGGAUUAGAUACCCCGGUA